CAGCAGCCGCGGGAAAACGGAGGGUGCAAGCGUUAAUCGGAAUUACUGGGCGUAAAGCGCACGCAGGCGGUUUGUUAAGUCAGAUGUGAAAUCCCCGAGCUUAACUUGGGAACUGCAUUUGAAACUGGCAAGCUAGAGUCUUGUAGAGGGGGGUAGAAUUCCAGGUGUAGCGGUGAAAUGCGUAGAGAUCUGGAGGAAUACCGGUGGCGAGGGCGGCCCCCUGGACAAAGACUGACGCUCAGGUGCGAAAGCGUGGGGAGCAAACAGGAUUAGAUACCCGCGUAGUCCCUGUCUCUUAUAC
Molecule: ribosomal RNA, 301 nt
Filed under: uncultured bacterium
Lineage: Bacteria
Description: partial 16S ribosomal RNA
Rfam family: Bacterial small subunit ribosomal RNA
Source: RNAcentral